UGAGGAAUAUUGGUCAAUGGGCGAGAGCCUGAACCAGCCAAGUAGCGUGCAGGAUGACGGCCCUAUGGGUUGUAAACUGCUUUUAUAUGGGAAUAAAGUGAGGGACGUGUCCCUUAUUGCAUGUACCAUACGAAUAAGGACCGGCUAAUUCCGUGCCAGCAGCCGCGGUAAUACGGAAGGUCCAGGCGUUAUCCGGAUUUAUUGGGUUUAAAGGGAGCGUAGGCUGUUUGUUAAGCGUGUUGUGAAAUGUAAGAGCUCAACUUUUAGAUUGCAGCGCGAACUGGCAGACUUGAGUGCGCACAACGUAGGCGGAAUUCAUGGUGUAGCGGUGAAAUGCUUAGAUAUCGGGAAGAACACCAAUGGCGAAGGCAGCUUACGGGAGCGCAACUGACGCUAAAGCUCGAAGGUGCGGGUAUCGAACAGG
RNAcentral lists this ribosomal RNA (424 nucleotides) under Verrucomicrobiota bacterium. Its description in RNAcentral is "Verrucomicrobia bacterium partial 16S ribosomal RNA". It matches the Rfam family "Bacterial small subunit ribosomal RNA", at positions 355 to 776 of the family's 1533-position model. The record is from RNAcentral. Lineage: Bacteria; Pseudomonadati; Verrucomicrobiota.